This 485-nucleotide ribosomal RNA is filed under the name uncultured bacterium. RNAcentral's name for it is "bacterial SSU rRNA". It matches the Rfam family "Bacterial small subunit ribosomal RNA", at positions 41 to 507 of the family's 1533-position model. The record is from RNAcentral.
GGCGUGCCUAAUACAUGCAAGUAGAACGCUGAAGGAGGAGCUUGCUUCUCUGGAUGAGUUGCGAACGGGUGAGUAACGCGUAGGUAACCUGCCUGGUAGCGGGGGAUAACUAUUGGAAACGAUAGCUAAUACCGCAUAACAGUAGAUGUUGCAUGACAUUUGCUUUAAAAAAGGUGCAAUUGCAUCACUACCAGAUGGACCUGCGUUGUAUUAGCUAGUUGGUGGGGUAACGGCUCACCACGGCGACGAUACAUAGCCGACCUGAGAGGGUGAUCGGCCACACUGGGACUGAGACACGGCCCAGACUCCUACGGGAGGCAGCAGUAGGGAAUCUUCGGCAAUGGACGGAAGUCUGACCGAGCAACGCCGCGUGAGUGAAGAAGGUUUUCGGAUCGUAAUGCUUUGUUGUAAGAGAAGAACGAGUGUGAGAGUGGAAAGUUCACACUGUGACGGUAUCUUACCAGAAAGGGACGGCUAACUACGUG